UAGGGAAUCUUCCGCAAUGGACGCAAGUCUGACGGAGCAACGCCGCGUGAGUGAAGAAGGAUUUCGGUUCGUAAAACUCUGUUGUUAGAGAAGAACAGCGCAUAGAGUAACUGUUAUGCGUGUGACGGUAUCUAACCAGAAAGCCACGGCUAACUACGUGCCAGCAGCCGCGGUAAUACGUAGGUGGCAAGCGUUGUCCGGAUUUCUUGGGCGUAAAGCGAGCGCAGGCGGUCAAUUAAGUCUGAUGUGAAAGCCCCCGGCUCAACCGGGGAGGGUCAUUGGAAACUGGGUGACUUGAGUGCAGAAGAGGAGAGCGGAAUUCCAGGUGUAGCGGUGAAAUGCAUAGAUAUAUUGAGGAACACCAGUGGCGAAGGCGACUCUCUGGUCUGUAACUGACGCUGAGGCUCGAAAGCGUGGGUAGCAAACAGG
RNAcentral lists this ribosomal RNA (429 nucleotides) under Bacteroidota bacterium. RNAcentral's name for it is "Bacteroidetes bacterium partial 16S ribosomal RNA". It matches the Rfam family "Bacterial small subunit ribosomal RNA", at positions 355 to 776 of the family's 1533-position model. The record is from RNAcentral. Lineage: Bacteria; Pseudomonadati; Bacteroidota.